CGUCCCGUAGCUCAGUGGUGAGAGCGUCCGCCUGAUACGCGGCAGGUCCCAGGUUCAAGCCCUGGCGGGACGA
RNAcentral lists this transfer RNA (73 nucleotides) under Lentzea xinjiangensis. Its description in RNAcentral is "Lechevalieria xinjiangensis tRNA_Ile_GAT". It matches the Rfam family "tRNA". Rfam says of the family: Transfer RNA (tRNA) molecules are approximately 80 nucleotides in length. Their secondary structure includes four short double-helical elements and three loops (D, anti-codon, and T loops). The record is from RNAcentral. Lineage: Bacteria; Bacillati; Actinomycetota; Actinomycetes; Pseudonocardiales; Pseudonocardiaceae.